UACGUAGGGUGCGAGCGUUAAUCGGAAUUACUGGGCGUAAAGCGUGCGCAGGCGGUUGGUCGUGUCCUGUGUGAAAGCCCCGGGCUUAACCUGGGAAUGGCAUUGGAAACUGGCUCGCUGGAGUGUGGCAGAGGGGGGUGGAAUUCCGCGUGUAGCAGUGAAAUGCGUAGAGAUGCGGAGGAACACCGAUGGCGAAGGCAGCCCCCUGGGCUAACACUGACGCUCAGGCACGAAAGCGUGGGGAGCAAACAGG
RNAcentral lists this ribosomal RNA (253 nucleotides) under uncultured bacterium. RNAcentral describes it as "partial 16S ribosomal RNA". It matches the Rfam family "Bacterial small subunit ribosomal RNA", at positions 524 to 776 of the family's 1533-position model. The record is from RNAcentral.